Non-coding RNA from Cinara cedri, 320 nucleotides. The record is from the annotation of a GenBank genome assembly. Lineage: Eukaryota; Metazoa; Arthropoda; Insecta; Hemiptera; Aphididae.
AUGUGAUAUUGAAAUCAAUUUGGGUGAGACGAUUAAUAAGGCAAUCGUUUAAUUUUCUUAACAUAUAAAUAAAAAACCGGUCAUCGCAUGUACUCACACGACUUUCCACAGGCAGCAGUCAUUGUUGUUGGCGGCGUUUGCGUUGGGCACAUUUAAAACGGCCAAAACUAAUAUCCGCCAUAUUGACACAGACGUUGUCGUCAGGAAAAUCGUAUCUCCUUGCGCAGUAGAGACAACGGAUGCCACCUGAGUCGCUAUAUUCGGAUGGUUGAAGUUUCGGAGUCUUCAUUACACAUCCCGUGAACUUUUAUAAGUCACAU